Apus apus (common swift) is the source of this 343-nucleotide long non-coding RNA. RefSeq lists it as uncharacterized. The transcript is spliced from 3 exons. Lineage: Eukaryota; Metazoa; Chordata; Aves; Apodiformes; Apodidae. The record is from RefSeq and is a predicted model, not a curated record.
AUUCCAUCCCCUCCUCUCACCACUGCCCUCCAGGCCCGUUUGGACAUCCUGAAGAUCCACUCCCGGAAGAUGAACCUGACCCGGGGCAUCAACCUGCGGAAGAUCGCGGAGCUGAUGCCUGGGGCCUCAGGUGCUGAGGUGAAGGGGGUGUGCACAGAGGCCGGGAUGUACGCCCUGAGGGAGAGGAGGGUGCACGUCACUCAGGAGGACUUUGAAAUGGCUGUGGCCAAGGUGAUGCAGAAGGACAGUGAGAAGAACAUGUCCAUCAAGAAGCUGUGGAAGUAAUGGUGAGGCUGGGGCUGCUCCUCAGGCUGUGGUGUCUAAUAAACUGCUGCUAUGGCCA